GUCCUGGAGGACUAAUGGUUAGGCCACAGCGCUCUCACCACUGUGGGCUGGGUUCGAUUCCUGGCCAGGGAA
RNAcentral lists this transfer RNA (72 nucleotides) under Pangasianodon hypophthalmus (striped catfish). RNAcentral describes it as "tRNA-Glu". The record is from RNAcentral. Lineage: Eukaryota; Metazoa; Chordata; Actinopteri; Siluriformes; Pangasiidae.